RNAcentral lists this ribosomal RNA (253 nucleotides) under uncultured bacterium. Its description in RNAcentral is "partial 16S ribosomal RNA". It matches the Rfam family "Bacterial small subunit ribosomal RNA", at positions 524 to 776 of the family's 1533-position model. The record is from RNAcentral.
UACGAAGGGGGCUAGCGUUGUUCGGAAUCACUGGGCGUAAAGCGCACGUAGGCGGAUUUGUUAGUCAGGGGUGAAAUCCCGGGGCUCAACCUCGGAACUGCCUUUGAUACUGCAAGUCUCGAGUCCGAGAGAGGUGAGUGGAAUUCCUAGUGUAGAGGUGAAAUUCGUAGAUAUUAGGAAGAACACCAGUGGCGAAGGCGGCUCACUGGCUCGGUACUGACGCUGAGGUGCGAAAGCGUGGGGAGUAAACAGG